This 131-nucleotide small RNA is filed under the name Salmonella enterica. RNAcentral describes it as "RtT sRNA". It matches the Rfam family "RtT RNA". From Rfam's summary of the family: This family represents a bacterial cis-regulatory element known as RtT RNA. The exact function of RtT is unknown although it is thought that it may be involved in changing the cellular response in relation to amino acid starvation. The record is from RNAcentral. Lineage: Bacteria; Pseudomonadati; Pseudomonadota; Gammaproteobacteria; Enterobacterales; Enterobacteriaceae.
UAUCUCUCCGUACGGGGAAGGAUGAGAAGCUUCGACUAAGGUUCGAUUCGAGCGCAGCGAGAAAGCGUUGCCGCAGGCAACGACCCGAAGGGUGAGGACCAGAGCGACGAAUAAUCCUUCCCCCACCAUCA